RNAcentral lists this ribosomal RNA (501 nucleotides) under Amplimerlinius macrurus. Its description in RNAcentral is "SSU rRNA". It matches the Rfam family "Eukaryotic small subunit ribosomal RNA", at positions 88 to 590 of the family's 1831-position model. Lineage: Eukaryota; Metazoa; Nematoda; Chromadorea; Rhabditida; Merliniidae. The record is from RNAcentral.
CGCGAAUGGCUCAUUACAACAGCUAAAAUUUACUUGAUCUUGACUUCCUACUUGGAUAACUGUGGUAAUUCUAGAGCUAAUACAUGCACCAAAGCUCCGACCUUACGGGAAGAGCGCAUUUAUUCGAACAAAACCAAGCGGCUUCGGCCGUUCGCAGUUGACUCAGAAUAACUAAGCUGAUCGCAUGGUCUUGAACCGGCGACGUGUCUUUCAAGUAUCUGCCUUAUCAACUUUCGAUGGUAGUGUAUCUGACUACCAUGGUGGUGACGGGUAACGGAGGAUAAGGGUUCGGCUCCGGAGAGUUCGCCUGAGAAAUCGCGAACACAUCUAAGGAAGGCAGCAGGCGCGAAAAUUACCCACUCUCAGCACGAGGAGGUAGUGACGAAAAAUAACGAGACCGUUCUCUUAUGAGGCCGGUCAUCGGAAUGGGUACAAUUUAAACCCUUUAACGAGUAUCUAUGAGAGGGCAAGUCUGUGCCAGCAGCCGCGGUAAUUCCAGCU